CCUACGGGUGGCUGCAGUCGAGAAUCUUCGGCAAUGAGCGCAAGCUUGACCGAGCGACGCCGCGUGCGGGAUGAAGGCCUUCGGGUUGUAAACCGCUUUCAGUGGGGAGGCCUAUCUUCAGAAGAAGGACGGGCUAAGUUCGUGCCAGCAGCCGCGGUAAUACGAACCGUCCAAACGUUAUUCGGAUUCAUUGGGCUUAAAGGGUACGUAGGCGGCGCUAUCAGUCGGGUGUGAAAGCCCUCGGCUCAACCGAGGAACUGCGCCCGAUACUGUAGUGCUUGAGGGAGACAGAGGUAAGCGGAACUGAUGGUGGAGCGGUGAAAUGCGUUGAUAUCAUCAGGAACACCGGUGGCGAAAGCGGCUUACUGGUCCUUCUGACGCUGAGGUACGAAAGCUAGGGGAGGAACGGGAUUAGAUACCCUUGUAGUC
This 429-nucleotide ribosomal RNA is filed under the name uncultured bacterium. RNAcentral's name for it is "partial 16S ribosomal RNA". It matches the Rfam family "Bacterial small subunit ribosomal RNA", at positions 338 to 795 of the family's 1533-position model. The record is from RNAcentral.